UUAGUUUUUUGUACGCCUCCAUGGCGGUCAGAUGUGGUUCCCGUAACUACGUACGUUUUUGAUCGUGGGACGUGGGACUGCGUACAUGUUGUCCCUGUUUUCCUUUUACUUUCAUAAUCGUUGACUAGCGUAGAAGAUAGAGUGUAACAGUUCUGCUCAGAGUCAUUUAUUGAAUCAGAAUUCGAAGUCGAAUCAGAAGUUAGUAUUGAUAAUAAUAUAGUGAGUGAAAGAAUAGAGUGAAAGAAUAGAACAAAAUGAAUUCAAAAGAAAUAAAAGGAUGGCAGCUACUUAUCGUUAAGGAACAAAAUGAAUAUUAAAGACAUCUACUUCAUUAACUUCUUAUCAAAUCAUUCAACAGAAAAUUGAUGUUUGAAGAAAAGUCGUUCAGUAAAGACGACAGCUCAAUAUGAAGAAUUGGUAAAAUAUAUGGAGUCACAUUCAGAAUUUGCCACAAAUAAAUAUUUAACUAAAGAUGGUAAAAUCCAUCACGCUUAACAAUGGGAGCAGUUGGCAGAAAUGCUUAAUGCAUUGUCUGCAGGCAAUAAGAAAACAUCAAAGCAGUGGCAGACAGUUUGGCGUGAUUUAAAAAGUAACGCUUCAAAGAAAGCAGCAAAAUUACGCUAUGAAAGGAAUCGGACAGGAAAUUUUCCAAUGAAUUCAGAAAGUCUCGAUAAUUUGCAACAACGUAUUGUUGCCUGUAUGGAGCUACAAUAUGUUGAAGGUGCACAUGAUUGUCCGGACAGUACUCCAGAACAAGAGGAACAUCAACUUCAACUAGAACAUAGGAACGAUGAUGUUCUAAUCAUUCCACCAGAGACGACGUCUAUAAGUGAAAUUUUGAAUUUGGAAAGAAACGCAGAUAUCGAUAACGUUUUUGAAAUAAUGGAGACUAAUACAAGUAACGAAAACGAUUUGACAUAUAAUGAUGUUAUGCAAUGUUUAAAUAAUGAAGACACUACAACGAAAAGGCCGACAGGCUUAAAAAAAGCAACAUCAAAGUGACUGCAACAAAAAAAGAAGGAAAUAUAUAAUAAGAGAAGUAGUAAACGUAUAAGUGUCGAGCUGCAACAAGCUCGAGAAAAAUUUACAGAAUUGCUGAAAAUCACGCUAGAGCUCUACAGUUGUUUGCGGAGGCUUCAAUGCAGCAAGCUGAUGCUGCUAUGAUGCAAGCAGAAAAUGUACGUGUACAGAACACCUUGGAAGAAAAAAGAUUUUUAAUGGAGGAAAGAAGAUUAGAAGUAGACGAAAAACUGAUUACAACUUUAGAUAAUAUGCAUAAAUUAAUGGAAAAAAUACUAUUCAAUUAAUACGUCAUAAUCACAUAAUAUAAGAACGUUUUUAUAUCUUUAUAACUUAUUAUACGUUAUGGUUAAAAAUGUUACACACUUUA
Harpegnathos saltator (Jerdon's jumping ant) is the source of this 1390-nucleotide RNA transcript. RefSeq lists it as uncharacterized. The transcript is spliced from 8 exons. The record is from RefSeq and is a predicted model, not a curated record. Lineage: Eukaryota; Metazoa; Arthropoda; Insecta; Hymenoptera; Formicidae.